GAGUUUGAUCGUGGCUCAGGAUGAACGCUGGCGGCGUGCCUAAUACAUGCAAGUCGAGCGAACGGACGAGAAGCUUUGCUUCUCUGAUGUUAGCGGCGGACGGGUGAGUAACACGUGGAUAACCUACCUAUAAGACUGGGAUAACUUCGGGAAACCGGAGCUAAUACCGGAUGAUAUUUUGAACCGCAUGGUUCAAAAGUGAAAGACGGUCUUGCUGUCACUUAUAGAUGGAUCCGCGCUGCAUUAGCUAGUUGGUAAGGUAACGGCUUACCAAGGCAACGAUGCAUAGCCGACCUGAGAGGGUGAUCGGCCACACUGGAACUGAGACACGGUCCAGACUCCUACGGGAGGCAGCAGUAGGGAAUCUUCCGCAAUGGGCGAAAGCCUGACGGAGCAACGCCGCGUGAGUGAUGAAGGUCUUCGGAUCGUAAAACUCUGUUAUUAGGGAAGUAACAUAUGUGUAAGUAACUGUGCACAUCUUGACGGUACCUAAU
Molecule: ribosomal RNA, 494 nt
Filed under: uncultured microorganism
Description: bacterial SSU rRNA
Rfam family: Bacterial small subunit ribosomal RNA
Source: RNAcentral